UGGGGAAUAUUGGACAAUGGGGGCAACCCUGAUCCAGCGAUGCCGCGUGGGUGAAGAAGGCCUUCGGGUUGUAAAGCCCUUUAGGUUGGGAAGAAGUAAGAUAACUGAAUAAGUUAUUUUAUUGACGGUACCGACAGAAUAAGCACCGGCAAACUCUGUGCCAGCAGCCGCGGUAAUACAGAGGGUGCGAGCGUUAAUCGGAGUUACUGGGCGUAAAGGGCGCGUAGGCGGUUAGUAGAGUGUGAUGUGAAAGCCCCGGGCUCAACCUGGGAAGUGCAUCGCAAACGGACUAACUGGAGUAUAAGAGAGGGUGGCGGAAUUUCCGGUGUAGCGGUGAAAUGCGUAGAGAUCGGAAGGAACGUCGAUGGCGAAGGCAGCCACCUGGCUUAAUACUGACGCUGAGGCGCGAAAGCGUGGGGAGCGAACAGG
This 429-nucleotide ribosomal RNA is filed under the name uncultured bacterium. RNAcentral's name for it is "bacterial SSU rRNA". It matches the Rfam family "Bacterial small subunit ribosomal RNA", at positions 355 to 776 of the family's 1533-position model. The record is from RNAcentral.